UGUUUCGAAGUUUUUACAUUUGAACGCAUUUACAAAUAUUUUUAACAGCUGAACCACUAAUUAAACAUGGUUGGGACAUUUUACAUAAUGUUACAGAGAAAUGGAUAAGGCACUUUACAUUACAAGAAAUCAACAUUUUCUGGCAACGACGUGCGCUUGUUUACAUUUGGAAACUGCAUUGUAUGAACCUCUAUCAUCAGCUCACUGGAUGGAAUUGAGUCUGUAGAAGUUGGCUUAAGCGGUGACUUCAUCAGGCUGCUGCAGUCUCAGGGGAAGUAUAAAGCCGCACCGUAAGUGAGUAAGUAUUUGAUUGUUACAAAUUGCUUCGCCUAUAUGCUUCCAGAGGGCGUGUCUUUCGGUGUGCGCCUUUCCACCAUUGGCGCACUGGACGGCGGUAAAAUUUCAGAAGGUGACCUGGGAGCGGUCUGAGUAAAUGCCACGUGACGUCAUUAGACUGCUGCAACUGCCAUGAAUCCAGCAUUAGGCCAAUGAGAAGAAGAUUCACCAGUGGCUGUUGUAACUGUCGGACAGGCCUUCGUUGGAUGCUGGAUAUACUGCGGUGCGGAUUUGGCGAGCCAGUCAAAAGGCGAUUCCAGGGGCGGAAAUGUGCAUCGGCAAUGGACGAGGCCCGUGCAGGAGGGAGCAUUACAGCCGGCUCGCUGCGCCCAGCCAGAGGAUUCGCAGCAGGAUAGCUGGCCACCGGAUGGACUACUCGCCUCCGCUUUCGCCGUGGAUUCACCAGGAGGCCGUCAGUAUCUGUGCUGUUUGCCUGUAGAUAGAAGUUUUGGAGUAGCGAUAGGCUGCUGCAGGCUGCGGAGUGGAUUCGGAGAAGUUGCCAGAAAGUCAUUCCGGAUACGCAGGUCAAUCCCGGCAGUAGACGAGGCCCUUAUAGAAGAUGGCGUGGGAGGCCGCUCGCUGCAGGCAGCCAUAGGAAUUACAUUGUCUGUCGUAUGCAACGGCGGCGAUACGUAACUAGCAUAACGCAACGUAACCCAGCUCGAGCCUUGGCCUGAUCCAGCAGGUUAGGGGAGCCAGUGUUACGUUACGCUAUGGGGACUUUAUUGUACAGAAUCUAGCAUUUUAGGUAAAAAUUAUUGGGGUUGUAGCUUAUAUAAAUAUAUGUAAAUAGCUGUCUACGAGCUGCUGUUAGCAGCCGUAGGCAGCAAAUACAA
Drosophila persimilis is the source of this 1172-nucleotide long non-coding RNA. RefSeq lists it as uncharacterized. The record is from RefSeq and is a predicted model, not a curated record. The transcript is spliced from 3 exons. Lineage: Eukaryota; Metazoa; Arthropoda; Insecta; Diptera; Drosophilidae.